UACGGGGGGGGCAAGCGUUGUUCGGAAUUACUGGGCGUAAAGGGCUCGUAGGCGGCCAACUAAGUCAGACGUGAAAUCCCUCGGCUUAACCGGGGAACUGCUUCUGAUACUGGAUGGCUUGAGAUUGGGAGAGGGAUGCGGAAUUCCAGGUGUAGCGGUGAAAUGCGUAGAUAUCGAGAGGAACACCUGCGGCGAAGGCGGGUUGCUGGGCUGAUACUGACGCUGAGGCGCGAAAGCCAGGGGAGCGAACGGG
RNAcentral lists this ribosomal RNA (253 nucleotides) under uncultured bacterium. Its description in RNAcentral is "partial 16S ribosomal RNA". It matches the Rfam family "Bacterial small subunit ribosomal RNA", at positions 524 to 776 of the family's 1533-position model. The record is from RNAcentral.